Molecule: ribosomal RNA, 902 nt
Filed under: uncultured bacterium
Lineage: Bacteria
Description: bacterial SSU rRNA
Rfam family: Bacterial small subunit ribosomal RNA
Source: RNAcentral
ACGCUGGCGGCGUGCCUAAUACAUGCAAGUAGAACGCACAGUAUAUACCGUAGCUUGCUACACCAUAGACUGUGAGUUGCGAACGGGUGAGUAACGCGUAGGUAACCUGCCUGGUAGCGGGGGAUAACUAUUGGAAACGAUAGCUAAUACCGCAUAAUAUUAAUUAUUGCAUGAUAAUUGAUUGAAAGGUGCAAUUGCACCACUACCAGAUGGACCUGCGUUGUAUUAGCUAGUAGGUGAGGUAACGGCUCACCUAGGCGACGAUACAUAGCCGACCUGAGAGGGUGAUCGGCCACACUGGGACUGAGACACGGCCCAGACUCCUACGGGAGGCAGCAGUAGGGAAUCUUCGGCAAUGGACGAAAGUCUGACCGAGCAACGCCGCGUGAGUGAAGAAGGUUUUCGGAUCGUAAAGCUCUGUUGUAAGAGAAGAACGGGUGUGAGAGUGGAAAGUUCACACUGUGACGGUAUCUUACCAGAAAGGGACGGCUAACUACGUGCCAGCAGCCGCGGUAAUACGUAGGUCCCGAGCGUUGUCCGGAUUUAUUGGGCGUAAAGCGAGCGCAGGCGGUUAGAUAAGUCUGAAGUUAAAGGCUGUGGCUUAACCAUAGUACGCUUUGGAAACUGUUUAACUUGAGUGCAGAAGGGGAGAGUGGAAUUCCAUGUGUAGCGGUGAAAUGCGUAGAUAUAUGGAGGAACACCGGUGGCGAAAGCGGCUCUCUGGUCUGUAACUGACGCUGAGGCUCGAAAGCGUGGGGAGCGAACAGGAUUAGAUACCCUGGUAGUCCACGCCGUAAACGAUGAGUGCUAGGUGUUAGGCCCUUUCCGGGGCUUAGUGCCGCAGCUAACGCAUUAAGCACUCCGCCUGGGGAGUACGACCGCAAGGUUGAAACUCAAAGGAA